GGGGGGCGUGCGAGGUGUAAGCCCAGCCAUGCAAGUCGAACGCUGAAGCCCAGAAGCUUGCUUCGUGGUGGAUGAGUGGCGAACGGGUGAGUAACACGUGAGUAACCUGCCCCUGAUUUCGGGAUAAGCCUGGGAAACUGGGUCUAAUACCGGAUACGACCACCUGACGCAUGUCGGGUGGUGGAAAGUUUUUCGAUCGGGGAUGGGCUCGCGGCCUAUCAGCUUGUUGGUGGGGUAAUGGCCUACCAAGGCGACGACGGGUAGCCGGCCUGAGAGGGCGACCGGCCACACUGGGACUGAGACACGGCCCAGACUCCUACGGGAGGCAGCAGUGGGGAAUAUUGCACAAUGGGGGAAACCCUGAUGCAGCGACGCAGCGUGCGGGAUGACGGCCUUCGGGUUGUAAACCGCUUUCAGCAGGGAAGAAGCGAAAGUGACGGUACCUGCAGAAAAAAUACCGGCUAACUACGUGCCACCAGCCGCGGUAAUACGUAGGGUACGAGCGUUGUCCGGAAUUAUUGGGCGUAAAGAGCUCGUAGGUGGUUGGUCACGUCUGCUGUGGAAACGCAACGCUUAACGUUGCGCGUGCAGUGGGUACGGGCUGACUAGAGUGCGGUAGGGGAGUCUGGAAUUCCUGGUGUAGCGGUGAAAUGCGCAGAUAUCAGGAGGAACACCGGUGGCGAAGGCGGGACUCUGGGUGUAACUGACACUGGAGGAGCGAAACCUGGGGAGCGAACAGGAUUAUAUACCCCUGGUAGUCCAUGCCGUAUACGUUGGGCACUACGUGUGGGAGACAUUCCACGUUCUCCGCGCCCAAGCUACGCAUUAAAUGCCCCCGCGUGGGGAUUACAGCCGCAACGCCUAAAACUCAACGAAAUGUACGUGGGGGCCCCCCCAACCGACGGGAGCAUGGGGCAUUAAUAUCCAGUGCUGCGCCGAAGA
RNAcentral lists this ribosomal RNA (942 nucleotides) under bacterium SCS_04Z1_47_3. Its description in RNAcentral is "bacterial SSU rRNA". It matches the Rfam family "Bacterial small subunit ribosomal RNA", at positions 26 to 967 of the family's 1533-position model. The record is from RNAcentral.